UUAGGAUUAUUGACUUACUAGCUUCUGUUGAAUCCAAUAUUGAUAGUUCCAUCAUUCUAACUGGGUUAUAUUGCUUGAUUUGAAUAUUGCAGGCUUAUCACAGGAUGAUUUCUAUGAGCCCUGACUAUAAGGAUGAGUUUAUAAUAAUUUGAUUAAUACCAUUCCUUCACUAAGUCACCCUCCUAUUUUAUUUGACAACUCCUCUAGAGGCCAUUCUAGCUUAAC
RNAcentral lists this long non-coding RNA (225 nucleotides) under Elaeis guineensis (African oil palm). RNAcentral describes it as "long non-coding RNA (EGUI_LNC040064)". Lineage: Eukaryota; Viridiplantae; Streptophyta; Magnoliopsida; Arecales; Arecaceae. The record is from RNAcentral.